Molecule: non-coding RNA, 112 nt
Filed under: Geobacillus sp.
Lineage: Bacteria; Bacillati; Bacillota; Bacilli; Caryophanales; Anoxybacillaceae
Description: TPP sequence
Rfam family: TPP riboswitch aptamer (THI element)
About the family: Vitamin B(1) in its active form thiamin pyrophosphate (TPP) is an essential coenzyme that is synthesised by coupling of pyrimidine and thiazole moieties in bacteria. The previously detected thiamin-regulatory element, thi box was extended, resulting in a new, highly conserved RNA secondary structure, the THI element, which is widely distributed in eubacteria and also occurs in some archaea.
Source: RNAcentral
AUAUUGUUUUGCGGGAGCUUGCGGAAGCAGGCUGAGAGUACGGCUAAUUCCGCCGUUGACCGUUCGAACCUGUUUGGGUAAUGCCAGCGCAGGGAAAGUGACUGUGGGAUCC